UACGUAGGGGGCUAGCGUUGUCCGGAAUCAUUGGGCGUAAAGAGCGCGCAGGCGGCCAGAUAAGUCCGGUGUGAAAGUCACAGGCUCAACCUGUGAAUGCCGCUGGAAACUGUCUGGCUAGAGUCCGGAAGGGGGGAGUGGAAUUCCUGGUGUAGCGGUGAAAUGCGCAGAUAUCAGGAGGAACACCAAUGGCGAAGGCAGCUCGCUGGGACGGUACUGACGCUGAGGCGCGAAAGCGUGGGGAGCAAACAGG
RNAcentral lists this ribosomal RNA (253 nucleotides) under uncultured bacterium. Its description in RNAcentral is "partial 16S ribosomal RNA". It matches the Rfam family "Bacterial small subunit ribosomal RNA", at positions 524 to 776 of the family's 1533-position model. The record is from RNAcentral.